UGGAGGACCGAACCCACCUAUGUUGAAAAAUGGGGGGAUGACCUGUGGCUAGGGGUGAAAGGCCAAUCAAACCCGGAGAUAGCUGGUUCUCCGCGAAAACUAUUUAGGUAGUGCGUUGUGUAUCACCAUCGGGGGUAGAGCACUGGAUGGGCUAGGGGGGAGCUAAUCCUUACCAAACCUAACCAAACUCCGAAUACCGAUGAGUGCAGCACAGCAGACAGACAUUGGGUGCUAAGGUCCAAUGUCGAAAGGGAAACAGCCCAGACCGCCAGCUAAGGUCCCCAAGUCAUGGCUAAGUGGCAAAGGAUGUGAGAAGUCCAAAACAGCCAGGAGGUUGGCUUAGAAGCAGCCAUCCUUUAAAGAUAGCGUAACAGCUCACUGGUCUAGAUAAGCCGGCCUGCGCCGAAGAUGUAACGGGGCUUAAACCAUACACCGAAGCUGUGGACAUGCGUUUACGUAUGUGGUAGCGGAGCGUUCCGUAAGUCUGUGAAGUUGUGUCGCGAGACACGAUGGAGAUAUCGGAAGUGAGAAUGCUGACAUGAGUAGCGAUAAAGAGUGUGAGAAACACUCUCGCCGUAAGUCCAAGGGUUCCUGCGCAAGGCUAAUCCGCGCAGGGUGAGCCGGCCCCUAAGGCGAGGGCGAAAGCCGUAGUCGAUGGGAACCAGGUUAAUAUUCCUGGGCCAGGUGGGAUGUGACGAAUGGCGUAAGUUGUUCCUUCUUAUUGGAUUGAAGGUGCAGCGAAGUCGUUCCAGGAAAUAGCCCCACUAUAGACCGUACCCUAAACCGACACAGGUGGAUUGGUAGAGUAUACCCAGGCGCUUGAGAGAACGAUGUUGAAGGAACUCGGCAAAAUGCCUCCGUAACUUCGGGAGAAGGAGGCCCCAUGCCUGGGCAACCGGGUGUGGGGGGCACAGACCAGGGGGUGGCGACUGUUUACUAAAAACACAGGGCUCUGCGAAGCCGCAAGGCGAAGUAUAGGGUCUGACGCCUGCCCGGUGCCGGAAGGUUAAGAGGAGGGGUGAGAGCUCUGAAUCGAAGCCCCGGUAAACGGCGGCCGUAACUAUAACGGUCCUAAGGUAGCGAAAUUCCUUGUCGGGUAAGUUCCG
Molecule: ribosomal RNA, 1106 nt
Filed under: marine metagenome
Description: bacterial LSU rRNA
Rfam family: Bacterial large subunit ribosomal RNA
Source: RNAcentral